Molecule: ribosomal RNA, 633 nt
Filed under: Actinoplanes sp. Ri1Pt_3841
Lineage: Bacteria; Bacillati; Actinomycetota; Actinomycetes; Micromonosporales; Micromonosporaceae
Description: bacterial SSU rRNA
Rfam family: Bacterial small subunit ribosomal RNA
Source: RNAcentral
CCUGAUGCAGCGACGCCGCGUGAGGGAUGACGGCCUUCGGGUUGUAAACCUCUUUCAGCAGGGACGAAGCGAGAGUGACGGUACCUGCAGAAGAAGCGCCGGCCAACUACGUGCCAGCAGCCGCGGUAAGACGUAGGGCGCGAGCGUUGUCCGGAUUUAUUGGGCGUAAAGAGCUCGUAGGCGGCUUGUCGCGUCGAAUGUGAAAUCUCAGGGCUCAACUCUGACAUUGCAUUCGAUACGGGCAGGCUAGAGUUCGGUAGGGGAGACUGGAAUUCCUGGUGUAGCGGUGAAAUGCGCAGAUAUCAGGAGGAACACCGGUGGCGAAGGCGGGUCUCUGGGCCGAUACUGACGCUGAGGAGCGAAAGCGUGGGGAGCGAACAGGAUUAGAUACCCUGGUAGUCCACGCUGUAAACGUUGGGCGCUAGGUGUGGGGACCCUCUCCGGGUUUCUGCGCCGCAGCUAACGCAUUAAGCGCCCCGCCUGGGGAGUACGGCCGCAAGGCUAAAACUCAAAGGAAUUGACGGGGGCCCGCACAAGCGGCGGAGCAUGCGGAUUAAUUCGAUGCAACGCGAAGAACCUUACCUGGGUUUGACAUCGCCGGAAAACUCGUAGAGAUACGGGGGUCCUUCGGGG